This 88-nucleotide transfer RNA is filed under the name Desertifilum sp. SIO1I2. RNAcentral's name for it is "tRNA-Ser". It matches the Rfam family "tRNA". From Rfam's summary of the family: Transfer RNA (tRNA) molecules are approximately 80 nucleotides in length. Their secondary structure includes four short double-helical elements and three loops (D, anti-codon, and T loops). Lineage: Bacteria; Bacillati; Cyanobacteriota; Cyanophyceae; Desertifilales; Desertifilaceae. The record is from RNAcentral.
GGAGAGGUGGCAGAGCGGUUGAAUGCACCGCACUCGAAAUGCGGCAACAAGCGAACCUUGUUCGUGGGUUCAAAUCCCACCCUCUCCG